Molecule: ribosomal RNA, 429 nt
Filed under: Chloroflexota bacterium
Lineage: Bacteria; Bacillati; Chloroflexota
Description: Chloroflexi bacterium partial 16S ribosomal RNA
Rfam family: Bacterial small subunit ribosomal RNA
Source: RNAcentral
UGGGGAAUAUUGCACAAUGGGCGCAAGCCUGAUGCAGCCAUGCCGCGUGUGUGAAGAAGGCCUUCGGGUUGUAAAGCACUUUCAGCGGGGAGGAAGGCGUUAAGGUUAAUAACCUUGGCGAUUGACGUUACCCGCAGAAGAAGCACCGGCUAACUCCGUGCCAGCAGCCGCGGUAAUACGGAGGGUGCAAGCGUUAAUCGGAAUUACUGGGCGUAAAGCGCACGCAGGCGGUCUGUCAAGUCGGAUGUGAAAUCCCCGGGCUCAACCUGGGAACUGCAUUCGAAACUGGCAGGCUAGAGUCUUGUAGAGGGGGGUAGAAUUCCAGGUGUAGCGGUGAAAUGCGUAGAGAUCUGGAGGAAUGCCGGUGGCGAAGGCGGCCCCCUGGACAAAGACUGACGCUCAGGUGCGAAAGCGUGGGGAGCAAACAGG